UGGACAGCCAGCUCUGUGGGGGCAGCUUCCACCCAGUGGGACCAGGCGUCAGGAGUGGAGAUGGUGUCUGGUGAGGCAUCGCCUGUCCCACGUCCCUGCUGGUGGGACCAGAUUCUCACCAGCACAUCCUUGUGGUCACCCGCUCAGGUUUGGGCUGGUCACAGUGACACAGCUGCAGCACGGCCACCACUUUGGGUAGAUGCCAACAUACCAGGACCUCAAGGUCCCAGAGAUGUGGCUGGGAUGUUUCUGCACCCCCCCUCCAUCCCCUCACGAGGCUUCGGGGAUCCUCCCGCAGCCCAAUCCUGCCUGGCGUGACCCAGCCCCCCCCAGGGGCCAUGGAGAUCCCUUUGGACCCUGUGAGAAGUGUCUGCACCCUCUGAGCUGGUCCUUCCCCCCACGUAUGUCCCUGCAGGGCAGCAAUCGGGCUGCGGUGGGCUGUGGGGGGCCAGGGCGGACUGACCUGUGCAGGAGUAGAGGCAGCAGGUCAGCAGGACAGAUGCCACCAAGCAGCCCGUUGAGCCGGCCAUCCCCAGCCAGCACGACCACCCAAAGUCAUAGUGGACCCCCAGGAAUAUAUUGUGCGACACCAGCGUGGCCCUUUCCACGUAGACGUCCACCGCGUACCACACGGAGCCCACGAGACCCAGGAUGCCUAGGAGAAACAGGGCUGGUUAAGAAAGAACUCUGCAACCCCCCAGGACCCCUCUGAGAGGGUGCCCCGAGCUCCUGGCACCCCUCCCAGCUCCCCAUGGGACCCCCGAGCGCUCCCAGCCACGCACUGCCAACACCAAGGGUGACACCAGCCCCAUAGCGCAUCUUCAGCUUGACACGAGGAUUUUCCUUGAGGAACUUGACACAAUCAAGCCCGAGGAGCAAGGAAGCCAAAGCCAGGCCAGCCAGGAGAUCCGCUGCAAUCAGCAGGGUCCGCGUCACCACGAUCUUCACUGGGCAGGGAAGGAAAGAAAAAAAAAAAACCCAGAAGAAGGGACUGAGGAAUGGUCAGAGGAACUGGUCUCCCCGCUCCGGAUUGCUGCCUGUGUCCCUGCUAGAGUCACCCAGCUCACCAGUGGCCGUGUCCAUAGGAGAUACCGACACUGGGACCCACCACCUGCCCUGGGCAAAGUGCUCCCCAGAAACCUUGCAACAGGACUUAACGAGCUCGUUAAUAGCUCAGCUCAAGAAACCAGACAUUUAAGGCGCACCAGUCGGCACCCAGGGUGUCAUCACCUACUCAAGACCUUCUUGCACAGCUUUGGACAGAAGAUGCUGCUGUCCAGACUGCCUGGUUUUCCUCCCAGUUGUGUAACUGGUGUUUUGACCAGCAAAUGUCUUUUUUUUUCUAAAAAAUAGCGGGGAAAAAUGUGGAGCUGGCAUGAGGCACGUCACCAGCUGUGAUGUCACCAGUGCAGUGCGACUUCUUCCUGCAGAGCUUCUCAGCACAGCAGCCCCACUUGGUCCGUGCGGACAUCUUGUUCCCUUCUCCACCGCCCCAAUCUGUGUUGUCCCCUGUCACCAUCCGUGGUAUGGAGAAGUCUCCACACCAUGACACGACUGUCCAGGAGCUGAGGACACAAGUCCCUGGCUGGUGGGGGUGGUCCUCAGCCCUGCGUGCAACGUCAACGGGGCUGCAAAUCCCACCGUGCGGUGGGGGAUAGGAGCGGCGCCUGGGCUCUACGUGCCACAACACCUUUGUUGGGAGGUGGCACAGCUUCUCUUCCGCUUGGUGACCCCGUGGCAGGUCUGGCUGGACCAUGGGUGGCUGUCCAGGCUGUGCUGGUGGGGCAGGAGAGCCAGGGAAGCCCCGGCCCUGCGUUGCUACCUGAUGAAGGGCAGCCCCUUGCAAGAGGCGCGUCUUCUUGGAAAGGGAAGAGGGACAACUCUUCGCUGUGAACUUGAAAAAUGCCUUCAGGCCAUGCCAGCUUACCUGGAUGGUCAGCCAGAAUGGAGUCAUACUGGUCACAGGUUCUCACCCCGUCCUGCAUGUUGGUGACACACUCCCUCCAAAGCCCCCGGCAUUUGUGACUUACCUGGAAGCAGGAGAAAGAUGCUCAAGCAGAAAGCACCAAAAAGCCCCCCAGCUCCCCCCAGAGAUAGCCCACCACCACUGGACGUGUCCUGGUGACUGCCUACCCAUACCUUGCUCUCUGUCUCCUCCUCUUGCUCCAGCAUUUCUUUCUCUCUCUAAUCCUCUAACCCUCCAACUGAUGCAGAAAGCAGCAGGUUUGUCCCACCACACCCCCUUUCCAAGCCUGGGGAGACACGGUGGGACCCCCUGGAUGGCGAGGCACCCACCUUGCUCCCGGCUGCUAACCUGGGAGCUGGCUGCCCUGCUCACCUCCAGGCUGUCGUCAGCGUUCACCAUCCAGCAGUCGGUGCAGGUGGCGAGGAGCAGGAAAAGGCUUGAGAGAAGAACGAGACCGAACGCUGUCAGCUGCAAAGCUGCGCUCAUGGGGUUACCUGCGAGGGCGUCGAGAUGUCCAUCACCUCUGCUGGGGCUGCUUCCCAGCUGCCUGAGGCACCAAAGUGCCACCUAGGCUGGGGCGUCGCCUGGAUCCCUAAGAGGCAUCUGGACCCCAUCUCGUGGUCCUCAGCGCUGCCAAAAUGCUCCAAUGGAGCUGCAGAGCCAGUUUUGCAUGUACAUAGGGACACAUCGCUUCUGCAGUAGAGCUGUACCCCCACGGGGCGGCUCUCCAGAUGUUCCCUCAUCCCAAGAGACCCCCUGGUAUUGCCCACCGGUACUACUUGUCCUUUGGGAAUCGAGCUGCUGGAAACUGCUGUCAAACGACUCUUGUUGUCUAAACUUGUGACUUCAGCAUGUGGCUCCUGAUACCCCGAGGUUUCCUUGAUGCCUCCAUCCCUGCAGCCAUGUGAUUCAGCGGGAAGAUCACCUGCCUUUGCAUGCUUUUUUUUUUUUUUUUUUUUUUUUUUUUUGUCCCCCCAAGAUAAGCAAUGAAGUGUUGAAACAGCCAGGUUGGAGCAGAAGCAAGUGUCCCAUGGAGGUGUCCCUCUCUCAAGUGGCCAGCCCAAGGAGGAAAGCAUCUCCCACCACGGAGGUGGGUGAGGGCUGCUGGGUGCCCCCAAGUGCUGCCAAGGCUUCCUGAAGACCAGAAGGGAUGGGACCGUCUGUUUUCCAUCCUUGCCAGAGAUGGAGGGACAUUAGGAGGGGAGCUGUGCCCAAGGUGUGGAGCAGAGGACAUCGUCUCUCCGAAGCCUGGACACAAAUCCUCCUUUGCUCUAUUUUGCAACCCAAGAUGCUAAAUAUUUCAGCACCUGAAGCUGCAGCCCUUUGGGCAAAGGGGUUCCUACUCUGGCUGUUUUGGAGCCUUUGAAGAAAAUCUGCUCAGCCAUCGGAGUUAUACCAGCAAAAGAAAUAAAGAAAAGAAAAGAAAUUGUGUUAGCAAUAAAAAGGGGCUGGUGGGGGUAAGUGUUACCUUCACCGCAGGCUCAUCCUUGCCGGGGUGGGACGAUGGCUGGGGAUGUGGGUCUUGAAGACUUUCAAGUACCGGUGGGGUUCGAUCCUGACCCACCUGAUGGAAUGAGGGAAAUGCAACGCCUGCCCAAGCCUGUGCUGGGUUAUUUAACGGUUUUCCGAGGUCCAAGGCACGUCAGAUGGACUUUGGGCUCCAAGGCGUGAUGGGCAUCCCUGCGGUUAGAAUGGUAAUAGGUUGGGAAGGGAGCCUCCCCCAAAAAUACCACGUGGGGAACCUGUGGCAGCCUGCUGGGAACACUCCCCAGGUGGGGGACUUUGUGUCCCAGGCAAAUAUCCCCCGUUCUUUAAUUAGACCUUUUAAUUACUGCCUAGGGGUGAGUGGCCUGAGACAUGUUGGGUCCCUGGGACCGGUGCGAGAGAGUCAGAGGGGUGGCGGCGGCCAGAGAAAGAAGCUAAAAUGCAAAGGGGAUAAUUAAAACCCUUUGGCCAGGCAUGCAGCCAAUAAUUAAGACCCUUCCCCGCCCCCCCUCCCCCCCCGCCCCAUUAUAUGUGGUGGUUAUGGCUCAGAUAAUGUGUCCAGUCAGCUCCCGAGGAGGUUUUUGUGACCGUGGAAAGCUGUGUCCCAGCUGCCUGGCACUUGGAGCUGUCCUGAAAACUUCAGGUUUGUUCCCUGGUCCCCUACUAUUUGGGGGAAAAAAAAAAAAACCAAACAAAAAAACCCUUUUGCUCUCACUUUUUUGCAAAGCGUGUUGCAGCGUCCUCUGAGCAUCCUUGGGAUCAGCUGCGCCCCAUGGCUCGCAGGCAUGGCUGCACCCUCAGCUCCAUCCCUAUUUCCAUUUCGUGGAUUAAAUUUAAGAGAAGCCCUUGGGGGUUUUAGGUUUGUUUUCGAGUUGGUUGGUGGAUUUUUUUUCCUUCUAGAUAAUCCUUUGCAGCGUUGAACUGCGGGGAUUUUGGCAACGCACCAGGGUCUUGGCAAAUCCUUGAGCUUCAGCCCUGCAGAGGCACCCAGGUGCUUGACUUUUUUUGGGGGGGUUAUCCUGUUUUCCCGGAAUUUUGGCACAUGACAGCUCCAACGCUUCAGCGUGGAGCAAUGAAUUAGUGCUGAAAACAUCCAGGAGGGUUUGUACCUUCAUUUUCCAAAAUUUACAUCUCAGGAUUUUGUGGUACUUGGACGUCCAUGGCAUUUGAAAUUCUGGUGUGACCCCAAGCAGUACAGAACUGCAGCUGUGCACCCUGGUGGUGCUUCUAAAACAGGUUUAUUUUUAUUUUCUGCUCAUCUAAACGGUCCCUUUAUUAUAUGUCAAACUAAUCUGCCUGGUCAAUUCUCAACUGAAACGUUUUGGGAGGGGUUGAAAGAAUGCAGGCAGAGGGGCAGAUCGAUCAGUAGUUGAAUAAUUAAGAUUAUUUCCCUGGUUAAUGAAGGUAAAAAUCAGAUCUUGUGUCCCACUAUGUCUGUAAAACCAGUGUGUUAAAAAAAUAGUGCUAACAGGAGACCCAAAGCUUUGUAUUUUAGCACAUGUUGUGCAGAGGAAACCUCUUACAGCUGGAAAGGGAGGAAAAAAAAAAAAAAGAAAUAAAAGAUGUUUUCUUUGAUGGGGCCAUGCCAUAGAGCUGGAGAGGGCUCUGUAGAUGCCGUUGGAGCAAGCUAACGUAUAAAAAUGAAUAAAAAAGAAUAAAACCAGCAUUGAAUUAAAACAGGCACAGCUCAGAGGCGUGAGAAAAGCUCCUCUGCGUGUGGACCGGCUGCGGGCCCCCGGCCAAGGGCAGUGCUGCUGCAGAAGCAUCUUCGUGCUAAAUGUAACGAGGCGUGCCCAGAUGGAUUUUUAGAUAUUUUUUUUUUUUAUGAAAAAACCGUGAUUUUUUUUCCCCCCCUUCUACUCAUUAUUUACAUGGAAUUUCAGUGCUGCGGCAAUUUGGUGAGAUUGGCUGUGAUCUUGGCCUCCAGGGGGUCAUUUUCCCUUUUCCCUCUUGUCUACCCAUUUAAAAAUUAAUAAUAUUCCAUGGGGGUUUGGGUGCCAGCAAGCGGUGUGCCCUGCAACCUACAUAUUGUUCAUCUUACUGGUUUUAUUCAAUACAAUAUGUGUGUUGGGCCGGGGGGGAGAACUUUUGGCCGGGGUGCGAUGGAUGGAGGCAGCUCCCAUGUACUGCAGCGAGCCCUGUGUCCUGCUCCCACAUUUUAUCCCGCUUUGCCCUGAGUAAAACACACGAGGGAUUGUCCCAAGGACAGUGGGGGCCUUUAUACCCCCAGCCACAUUAUCACCACUCUGCUAUUUUCCCCCUGCCACCACCCACUUUGAUCCAGCCGUAGCGUCCCUCCCCAGGAGCCUUCGGGUGACCUGUGGAGAUGUCACGGGAGCCCCCCUGGACCACAAAUCCCUGCUUUUUGAGGUGGGAUGGGAUGUACUUAUGGACUAGGUGCUGCAGGUGGGAUGAGGAUGCCGAGACAAGACGGCAGCCAUGCAAAAAGCUGGAUGGAAAGCAUCAUCCCCUGAGGAGAACCAAGUACAGCAUUACGGGGCCAGGGGUCCUGCUCCUCCACGAAGAAAGCAAAAAUCAAGUUAAAUUAGCAAAGUGCCCAAUUAGGCACUUUGGAUUUGAAUUUGGAUUCAUGGAAAAUGGGAGAAAAUAAGGCAGAGCCCAGCUGCAAGGGUCCAUGGGGGGCAAUAAGAGGAGGAUGCUGGUCGAGGGUCCAUGCGAGGCAAUAAGAGGAGGAUGCUGGUGGCACUUCAGCCCUGCAGAGGGACCAGGGCGCAAGAUGCCGAGUUUCCCAGGGGUUUCGCCUUAAACUAAGCAAUUUUUAAGGCCAUGUCCCCUCCUUCUAGAGCCACAUGUGGCAAAAGACUUGAGCUAUUGGGCUAGCACCUGCCCAGGAGGGCAAAAAAACCUUCAGCACGGGGGAGAGCCCCCCGCCUGUAGUGGCUUUGACCCAGCAGAGCUGUCACUCGCAGGGGACUGGGCCAGAUUUGGAAGUGCGGAGAACAAAGAGACGAUUUGAGCAAGAUACCCGUGAUUGGAAAUAUUUUAAUACCACUGAGUCACAAUUUUUAGUACAAACAAUCAGCAAAAGAAUGCAUUGAAAAAUCCCGAUCGGUCCCAUUCCCACGGCCAUGCAUCCCCUAGAAAAGUUAAUGCAAUUUUAUAGGAAAAGAAUAAAAAAUAUGUCGUUCUACGCGAUGCGGUGCUCUUGCUAUAAAACACCUUUUUGGUUAUUUGGCUUUAAAAAAAAAAAACCAACACAAAUUUCCUUUUCAAUCCUCAUUGCAGUAGCUUUCGGUGUGUAUUUUUGGAGGGGAACC
Long non-coding RNA from Falco peregrinus (peregrine falcon), 6729 nucleotides. RefSeq lists it as uncharacterized. The record is from RefSeq and is a predicted model, not a curated record. The transcript is spliced from 2 exons. Lineage: Eukaryota; Metazoa; Chordata; Aves; Falconiformes; Falconidae.